Molecule: unclassified non-coding RNA, 239 nt
Filed under: uncultured Lactarius
Lineage: Eukaryota; Fungi; Basidiomycota; Agaricomycetes; Russulales; Russulaceae
Description: sequence contains ITS1
Source: RNAcentral
UCGUAAAAAAUAAAAUAAAAAAUGUGCGAGGCGUGCAAGGGCUGUCGCUGACUUUUGACACAAAAGUCGUGCACGCCAGAGUGUGUCCUCUCACAUAAAAUCCAUCUCACCCUUUUGUGCACCACCGCGUGGGCACCCUUCGGGAUCAAACCGAUCCAGGAGGGGGCUUGCGUUCUCACACAAACCCCCUUUUUAAAAGUGUAGAAUGACCCCAUUUUUGCGAUAACACGCAAUCAAUA